GAGUUUGAUCCUGGCUCAGGACGAACGCUGGCGGCGCGCCUAACACAUGCAAGUCGAACGAGAGAGAAAGAGCUUGCUCUUCAAAUCGAGUGGCGAACGGGUGAGUAACGCGUGAGGAACCUGCCUCAAAGAGGGGGACAACAGUUGGAAACGACUGCUAAUACCGCAUAAGCCCACGGCUCGGCAUCGAGCAGAGGGAAAAGGAGUGAUCCGCUUUGAGAUGGCCUCGCGUCCGAUUAGCUAGUUGGUGAGGUAACGGCCCACCAAGGCAACGAUCGGUAGCCGGACUGAGAGGUUGAACGGCCACAUUGGGACUGAGACACGGCCCAGACUCCUACGGGAGGCAGCAGUGGGGAAUAUUGCACAAUGGGGGAAACCCUGAUGCAGCGACGCCGCGUGGAGGAAGAAGGUCUUCGGAUUGUAAACUCCUGUUGUUGGGGAAGAUAAUGACGGUACCCAACAAGGAAGUGACGGCUAACUACGUGCCAGCAGCCGCGGUAAUAC
RNAcentral lists this ribosomal RNA (504 nucleotides) under uncultured bacterium. Its description in RNAcentral is "bacterial SSU rRNA". It matches the Rfam family "Bacterial small subunit ribosomal RNA", at positions 9 to 526 of the family's 1533-position model. The record is from RNAcentral.